This 445-nucleotide unclassified non-coding RNA is filed under the name Cotesia glomerata. Its description in RNAcentral is "uncharacterized LOC123263198, transcript variant X1". Lineage: Eukaryota; Metazoa; Arthropoda; Insecta; Hymenoptera; Braconidae. The record is from RNAcentral.
ACUUAGUUAGAAUAAAAUAAGUUGAUCAAAACACAAAGGAUUAACGAUUAAUAAUAAAUUGAUAAGAUAAUCUGUUUGAUAAAAAAAAAAUACAUAGCACUAUAAUAAAAAGAUAAGACACUUUAUUCAGUCCCGUCACUUCGAUCGGCUGGCUCUAGUACAAAAAUGAAAAUAUUUAUAAGUGUCAUCACGACUUUGUUGUUGAACCCGAAUUCUAUGUCUGUCUCAGGAGUGGAGACGAUACCAGAUUCAAUAAAUCCCGUGUGCUUCCAAUUCACGUGGCCAGGCCCCAGAUAUGACAACACCAGUCAAAUUAAUAUAGAUUGUAAGAAACACAACGAGCCGUGCUUUAAACCGAUUGUUGCUACACCUGAUUCAACUCCACCAAACACAACUUAUAUGUGGCAUUAUGAAAACCGAACAUUAGUAACAUGUCCUAUGAGAA